RNAcentral lists this ribosomal RNA (1622 nucleotides) under Salmonella enterica. RNAcentral describes it as "partial 23S ribosomal RNA". It matches the Rfam family "Bacterial large subunit ribosomal RNA", at positions 1200 to 2803 of the family's 2925-position model. Lineage: Bacteria; Pseudomonadati; Pseudomonadota; Gammaproteobacteria; Enterobacterales; Enterobacteriaceae. The record is from RNAcentral.
CUGCGGCAGCGACACUCAGGUGUUGUUGGGUAGGGGAGCGUUCUGUAAGCCUGUGAAGGUGGCCUGUGAGGGUUGCUGGAGGUAUCAGAAGUGCGAAUGCUGACAUAAGUAACGAUAAAGCGGGUGAAAAGCCCGCUCGCCGGAAGACCAAGGGUUCCUGUCCAACGUUAAUCGGGGCAGGGUGAGUCGACCCCUAAGGCGAGGCCGAAAGGCGUAGUCGAUGGGAAACGGGUUAAUAUUCCCGUACUUGGUGUUACUGCGAAGGGGGGACGGAGAAGGCUAUGUUGGCCGGGCGACGGUUGUCCCGGUUUAAGCGUGUAGGUGUGUGUUCCAGGUAAAUCCGGUUCACUUUAACACUGAGGCGUGAUGACGAGGCACUACGGUGCUGAAGCAACAAAUGCCCUGCUUCCAGGAAAAGCCUCUAAGCAUCAGGUAACAUCAAAUCGUACCCCAAACCGACACAGGUGGUCAGGUAGAGAAUACCAAGGCGCUUGAGAGAACUCGGGUGAAGGAACUAGGCAAAAUGGUGCCGUAACUUCGGGAGAAGGCACGCUGACACGUAGGUGAAGUGAUUUACUCAUGGAGCUGAAGUCAGUCGAAGAUACCAGCUGGCUGCAACUGUUUAUUAAAAACACAGCACUGUGCAAACACGAAAGUGGACGUAUACGGUGUGACGCCUGCCCGGUGCCGGAAGGUUAAUUGAUGGGGUCAGCGCAAGCGAAGCUCCUGAUCGAAGCCCCGGUAAACGGCGGCCGUAACUAUAACGGUCCUAAGGUAGCGAAAUUCCUUGUCGGGUAAGUUCCGACCUGCACGAAUGGCGUAAUGAUGGCCAGGCUGUCUCCACCCGAGACUCAGUGAAAUUGAACUCGCUGUGAAGAUGCAGUGUACCCGCGGCAAGACGGAAAGACCCCGUGAACCUUUACUAUAGCUUGACACUGAACAUUGAGCCUUGAUGUGUAGGAUAGGUGGGAGGCUUUGAAGCGUGGACGCCAGUCUGCGUGGAGCCGACCUUGAAAUACCACCCUUUAAUGUUUGAUGUUCUAACGUGGACCCGUGAUCCGGGUUGCGGACAGUGUCUGGUGGGUAGUUUGACUGGGGCGGUCUCCUCCUAAAGAGUAACGGAGGAGCACGAAGGUUGGCUAAUCCUGGUCGGACAUCAGGAGGUUAGUGCAAUGGCAUAAGCCAGCUUGACUGCGAGCGUGACGGCGCGAGCAGGUGCGAAAGCAGGUCAUAGUGAUCCGGUGGUUCUGAAUGGAAGGGCCAUCGCUCAACGGAUAAAAGGUACUCCGGGGAUAACAGGCUGAUACCGCCCAAGAGUUCAUAUCGACGGCGGUGUUUGGCACCUCGAUGUCGGCUCAUCACAUCCUGGGGCUGAAGUAGGUCCCAAGGGUAUGGCUGUUCGCCAUUUAAAGUGGUACGCGAGCUGGGUUUAGAACGUCGUGAGACAGUUCGGUCCCUAUCUGCCGUGGGCGCUGGAGAACUGAGGGGGGCUGCUCCUAGUACGAGAGGACCGGAGUGGACGCAUCACUGGUGUUCGGGUUGUCAUGCCAAUGGCACUGCCCGGUAGCUAAAUGCGGAAGAGAUAAGUGCUGAAAGCAUCUAAGCACGAAACUUGCCCCGAG